GAUGAACGCUAGCUACAGGCUUAACACAUGCAAGUCGCGGGGCAGCAUGGGGGUUGCUUGCAAUCCCCGAUGGCGACCGGCGCACGGGUGAGUAACGCGUAUCCAACCUGCCCUUCACCACGGGAUAACCCGGCGAAAGUCGGACUAAUACCGUAUGUUGUCCAUUGACGGCAUCCGAUUUGGACGAACGGUUUGGCGGUGAAGGAUGGGGAUGCGUCCGAUUAGCUGGACGGCGGGGUGACGGCCCACCGUGGCGACGAUCGGUAGGGGUUCUGAGAGGAAGGUCCCCCACACUGGACAUGAGACACGGUCCAGACUCCUACGGGAGGCAGCAGUGAGGAAUAUUGAUCAAUGGGCGUAAGCCUGAACCAGCCAAGUAGCGUGCAGGAUGACGGCCCUAUGGGCUGUAAACUGCUUUUAUGCGGGGAUAAAGUGGCCCACGUGUGGGUUUUUGCAGGUACCGCAUGAAUAAGGACCGGCUAAGUCCGUG
This 490-nucleotide ribosomal RNA is filed under the name uncultured bacterium. Its description in RNAcentral is "partial 16S ribosomal RNA". It matches the Rfam family "Bacterial small subunit ribosomal RNA", at positions 28 to 507 of the family's 1533-position model. The record is from RNAcentral.